GAUGAACGCUAGCUACAGGCUUAACACAUGCAAGUCGAGGGGAAACGAUAUUGGAAGCUUGCUUCCGAUAGGCGUCGACCGGCGCACGGGUGAGUAACGCGUAUCCAACCUGCCCACCACUUGGGAAUAACCUUGCGAAAGUAAGACUAAUGCCCAAUGAUAUCUCUAGAAGACAUCUGAAAGAGAUUAAAGGUUUAUCGGUGAUGGAUGGGGAUGCGUCUGAUUAGCUUGUUGGCGGGGUAACGGCCCACCAAGGCGACGAUCAGUAGGGGGUCUGAGAGGAAGGUGCCCCGCAGUGGAACUGAGACACGGUCCAAACUCCUACGGGAGGCAGCGGUGAGGAAUAUUGGUCAAUGGGCGAGAGCCUGAACCAGCCAAGUAGCGUGCAGGAUGACGGCCCUAUGGGUUGUAAACUGCUUUUAUAAGGGAAUAAAGUGAGCCUCGUGAGGCUUUUUGCAUGUACCUUAUGAAUAAGGACCGGCUAAUUCCGUGCCAGCCGCCGCCGUAA
This 508-nucleotide ribosomal RNA is filed under the name uncultured bacterium. RNAcentral describes it as "partial 16S ribosomal RNA". It matches the Rfam family "Bacterial small subunit ribosomal RNA", at positions 28 to 523 of the family's 1533-position model. The record is from RNAcentral.